UUUUUGCUUGAAAGAAAUCCUCUUUCAGGCAAAUGAAUAAAUGAGGCAAGAAAAAACACCAUUAUGAGCACAUACCAACCAAGCUGCAUGCAAAUUUCUAGCACAGAUUGGGUGAUGCAGCAGAAACA
Molecule: small nucleolar RNA, 128 nt
Filed under: Drosophila mojavensis
Lineage: Eukaryota; Metazoa; Arthropoda; Insecta; Diptera; Drosophilidae
Description: snoRNA:GI25368
Source: RNAcentral